Molecule: ribosomal RNA, 440 nt
Filed under: uncultured bacterium
Lineage: Bacteria
Description: partial 16S ribosomal RNA
Rfam family: Bacterial small subunit ribosomal RNA
Source: RNAcentral
CCUACGGGAGGCAGCAGUGGGGAAUAUUGCACAAUGGGGGAAACUCUGAUGCAGCGACGCCGCGUGAGUGAAGACGUAUCUCGGUAUGUAAAGCUCUAUCAGCAGGGAAGAAAAUGACGGUACCUGACUAGGAAGCCCCGGCUAACUACGUGCCAGAAGACGCGGUAAUACGUAGGGGGCAGGCGUUAUCCGGAUUUACUGGGUUUAAAGGGAGCGUAGACGGGGAUGCAAGUCAGAAGUGAAAGCCCGGGGCUCAACUCCGGGACUGCUUUUGAAACUGUCAGACUGGAGUUCAGGUGAGGUAAGCGGAAUUCCUGGUGUAGCGGUGAAAUGCGUAGAUAUCAGGAAGAACACCAGUGGCGAAGGCGGCUUACUGGACUGUAACUGACGUUGAGGCUCGAAAGCGUGGGGAGCAAACAGGAUUAGAUACCCGAGUAGUC